AUGCUUAAAUCCGUCCGAAUCUUGUUAGUAGUUGCCAUAUUUUAUGAAAUUUGGCAAAUGGAUGUCAAAACUGCAUUCCUUAAAUGGAUAUUUCUUAAAGAAGAGUUGUAUAUGAUGCAAUCAGAAGGUUUUGUCGAUCCAAUGGGUGCUAACAAAGUGUGCAAGCUCCAACGAUGCAUUUAUGGACUGGUGCAAGCCUCUCAGAGUUGGAAUAAAUGCUUUGAUAGUGUGAUCAAAGCAUAUAGUUUUAUACAGACUUGCGGUGAAGCCUGUAUUUACAAGAAGGUGAGUGGGAGCUUUGUAGCAUUUCUAAUAUUAUAUGUGGAUGACAUAUUGUUGAUUGGAAAUGAUAUAGAAUUUUUGGAUAGCAUAAAAAGGAUACUUGAAUAA
Molecule: ribosomal RNA, 390 nt
Filed under: Triticum aestivum (bread wheat)
Lineage: Eukaryota; Viridiplantae; Streptophyta; Magnoliopsida; Poales; Poaceae
Description: partial small subunit ribosomal RNA
Source: RNAcentral